Molecule: long non-coding RNA, 325 nt
Filed under: Gossypium barbadense (sea-island cotton)
Lineage: Eukaryota; Viridiplantae; Streptophyta; Magnoliopsida; Malvales; Malvaceae
Description: long non-coding RNA (GBAR_LNC008539)
Source: RNAcentral
AAAGUUUUGAAAGUUAUAUCGGACAACAGUGAAGGACCAAAUGAAGGCGAUUCCUUCUUCGAGUUCAGCUACCGUGUUAUGGCCAAGAGGUGGAAGCAAUUGAGAGAGGCAGUGCAACAGAGUGGGCUAUUUAGUGUGUCAGACUUCCCUCCCCAGCUUUGCAUGUUUCUCAACAGGGUCUUCGAGCCUCAGCCUGGUAAGAAAAGGAAAAAGAAGGUUAAGUGCAUCAAUGUGAUACCCCUGGUCCUGCGGACUAACCUGAACUCUAUCCUUUGCAGCAUUCGCAUGGAUAAAGUGCGAAGGAGAUAUUGAUAAUUGCGAAAGC